Molecule: long non-coding RNA, 1164 nt
Filed under: Pogona vitticeps (central bearded dragon)
Lineage: Eukaryota; Metazoa; Chordata; Lepidosauria; Squamata; Agamidae
Description: lncRNA (ENSPVIG00000014194.1)
Source: RNAcentral
AUCACAUAAAGUCUCCCCUUUCCCCUAGCUAAAAAAACCCAGUGGUAAUUAAAUAAAUGACAGUUUUCUGUCUGAGGGGGCCACCUCUUAUGCUCUCACUGAAGGGAUCCUUUUGAGAGGAGGUUCCACAGGACCACACGACACAGGGGAGGAGACCUCAGCUGAAGACCCUGGACCUUUGUUGUGAAUAGAUGGCAUAACUGUUUCUUCAAGAAAAGAAGAAAAGGUUAUGCUCAGAGACAGAUAUUGAGAAAAGGACUCUUCCCAGCAAAAGAAAGUGGCACAGAAUGAAGACAUAACCAGGGCUUCAAGUGGCCUGAUGACAUGUCUAUCUGCAGCAGAGUAGACAGCAGAGUCCUCCUCAGGGUUAGGGGUUUUCUUUAAGUGGGACCUUCCUCCUGGACAGUAUUUAUGAUGAAAUACUUCAACUGAGGGCUGACAGAAGCUCCCCAUUGCAGCUGGAGUAGCUGCUUAAAACGGCGUAUUUAUUCGGACACUAUCAGUCACUCAGUUCUAGGCCUCUCUGCAUAUGAUCUGUGCUUUGUUUUCUGGCUCUUCUUCUGGGCUCCUGUCACCUGGUCUGCCAGUUUACUGUGUGUACCCUUACUGGUUUGGAUGUCGGAUUGUUCAGACUUUGCCACUGAGAUCCUUCCACAAGAUACUACACCAGUCUGCUUUCUGUGUUAAGAACUGCUCUGCCCCAAUGGAUUCUUCAGCAUCAGAUAUUGGCCCUUGUCUAAAGACCUCCACGCCAUCAAUAUUUGAUUUGGAUACAAAAUCCACAGAAAUAAUUAAAAUACCAUGUUUUCCUAUGUGUUCCCGAUUCAUGUCUGUACAUCUGCAAAUCAGAAGGAAGUUGUACAAUUUGUACAUGAGAGUGUACAUUUUUUCAGAGUUCAGAGCUCUGGCUAUGACCUAUAAAGUCCUAUAGUUGAAUCCGGACUAUUAGAGACCCUACUGUUCCAUAUGACCUUCCCAGAGUUGUCUUUGGGUGGGAGGGCCUUCACUCAUUCUGUCACACUCAGAAGUGCAGACACAAGAACUCUUUCCUGUGGGAGGCUCAGCUGGCCCAUUCCCUCUUGCCUCCCAACAUCAGACAAAUAUAUUCUUAUUCAGAUGAACUUUUCUCUGGCUGGUGAGAAAGGGGCCUUUAAUGGGAAAGCA